AUUGAACGCUGGCGGCAUGCCUUACACAUGCAAGUCGAACGGUAACGGGCCUUCGGGUUCCGACGAGUGGCGAACGGGUGAGUAAUACAUCGGAACGUGCCCGAUCGUGGGGUAUAACGAGGCGAAAGCUUUGCUAAUACCGCAUACGAUCUACGGAUGAAAGCAGGGGACCGCAAGGGCUUGUGCGGACGGGGCGGCCGAUGGCAGAUUAGGUAGUUGGUGGGAUAAAAGCUUACCAAGCCGACGAUCUGUAGCUGGUCUGAGAGGAUGAUCAGCCACACUGGAACUGAGACACGGCCCAGACUCCUACGGGAGGCAGCAGUGGGGAAUUUUGGACAAUGGGCGCAAGCCUGAUCCAGCCAUGCCGCGUGCAGGAUGAAGGCCUUCGGGUUGUAAACUGCUUUUGUACGGAACGAAAAGCCUUCUUUUAAUACAGGAGGGUCAUGACGGUACCGUAAGAAUAAGCACCGGCUAACUACGUG
Molecule: ribosomal RNA, 482 nt
Filed under: uncultured bacterium
Lineage: Bacteria
Description: partial 16S ribosomal RNA
Rfam family: Bacterial small subunit ribosomal RNA
Source: RNAcentral